Molecule: ribosomal RNA, 305 nt
Filed under: uncultured bacterium
Lineage: Bacteria
Description: bacterial SSU rRNA
Rfam family: Bacterial small subunit ribosomal RNA
Source: RNAcentral
CCUACGGGAGGCAGCAGUGGGGGAUAUUGCACAAUGGGGGGAACCCUGAUGCAGCGACGCCGCGUGGGUGAAGAAGCGCCUCGGCGCGUAAAGCCCUGUCAGCAGGGAAGAAAAUGACGGUACCUGACUAAGAAGCCCCGGCUAACUACGUGCCAGCAGCCGCGGUAAUACGUAGGGGGCAAGCGUUAUCCGGAUUUACUGGGUGUAAAGGGAGCGUAGACGGCUGGCCAAGUCUGAAGUGAAAGCCCGGGGCUUAACCCCGGAACGGCUUUGGAAACUGGCCGGCUGGAGUGCUGGAGAGGCAG